Molecule: ribosomal RNA, 253 nt
Filed under: uncultured bacterium
Lineage: Bacteria
Description: partial 16S ribosomal RNA
Rfam family: Bacterial small subunit ribosomal RNA
Source: RNAcentral
UACGAGGGGGGCGAGCGUUGUUCGGAAUUAUUGGGCGUAAAGGGUGCGUAGGCGAUUUGGUAAGUCUGAUGUGAAAUCUAUGGGCUCAACUCAUAGUCUGCAUCGGAAACUGCCGGGCUUGAGUGUGGGAGAGGUGAGUGGAAUUCCUGGUGUAGCGGUGAAAUGCGUAGAUAUCAGGAGGAGCACCUGUGGCGAAAGCGGCUCACUGGACCAUAACUGACGCUGAUGCACGAAAGCUAGGGGAGCAAACAGG